CAGAAAACUCCAGAAAGAUGAGCUCUGGUAGCACAGCUCCAGGGUACAACAGCAAUAGAAAGCAGAGAUUGCUGGAAUUUGCUUUAAGUAAUCAAUUUGGAAAACAUCUGUGAUUUUAACAGCUGGUUCAAUCAAGCAGGACUACACAAGCACAGCAUGUACAUUCCAGACUUGUGAAUGGGAUUCCCUACAGCAGGCGUGGGAGGGAGUUAGGCAUCUUUCUUGUCUUCCGCAGGCAGUGGCUCUGGAAUAUUUUCCUGCAUGACAGUGCUGCUUCAGCAGAAGAGGUAAGGAAUGUUCCCACCCAAAAUAAGCCCUCGCCAGGAGAUUAACUCUCCAGAGGUAG
This 346-nucleotide long non-coding RNA is filed under the name Coturnix japonica (Japanese quail). RNAcentral describes it as "lncRNA (ENSCJPG00005016596.1)". The record is from RNAcentral. Lineage: Eukaryota; Metazoa; Chordata; Aves; Galliformes; Phasianidae.